Molecule: ribosomal RNA, 253 nt
Filed under: uncultured bacterium
Lineage: Bacteria
Description: partial 16S ribosomal RNA
Rfam family: Bacterial small subunit ribosomal RNA
Source: RNAcentral
GACAGAGGGUGCAACCGUUGCUCGGAAUUACUGGGCGUAAAGCGCGUGUAGGCUGACCGGAAAGUCGGGCGUGAAAUCCCUGGGCUCAACCCAGGAACUGCACUCGAAACUCCCGGUCUUGAGUGGUGGAGAGGGAAGUGGAAUUCCUGGUGUAGAGGUGAAAUUCGUAGAUAUCAGGAGGAACACCAGUGGCGAAGGCGGCUUCCUGGACACCAACUGACGCUGAGACGCGAAAGCGUGGGGAGCAAACAGG